UUGCUGCUAAGCUCAGAUACAGCACAAAAGAUGCUGUAUUCCUUCACCAGGAAAAUGUCAAGUACAUAUCAUCUGCUGCUAGAAGACCAGCAAAAAAGCCAGUAUAAGGGUCAGGAGAGCAAGUCUUGUCCUGAAAGGUGCUUUAAUGCCUUCUCUGGGCUUUGCUGGCAGCUGAAGAGCAUUCAGGGAGCACAGAUGCCUCAGCCAUAUCACCCCCUGGUAGAUACCACAAGGUCUUUCUCACAAGAGGUUGGCAGUUGAUGGAGAAAGAAGUAUGGCCACUUCUUCACCAGCCUGGAAGGGAUUGCUGGCUCGGUGUACAUUGACGAACUGGGAGAAAGGAGCAUGUUUUAGAAAAACCUACCUAAUAGGAGGCUGGAAAAUUUCCACGAUCAGUAUUCUUCACUCAAAUAAAGCAAACGACCCCUUUCAACUAGUGCGAAAAUGACUACAUAAUUAGCAGUGUACGUAGAUUCUGCAGAGACAUGUGGUAGGAGGACCCAAGCAUGAUCAAACUAUGGCAUCUCAUGAAAAGGCCUGGAAUAUGGAACAGACAAGUCAUUCCCUCCCAUGCCAUGAAAUCCAGCCACUAGGAGGAAGCUACUGGAGUCUGAACCUAUGCACAAUAUGCUGUGUUGCUUGGCACCAGAUGAUAAAUAAAUGUGACCUUGUUGUAUAUGCCCCGAUGGGCACAUUAGGAUCUUGGACAAUACGGUGAGCAAACUGGAAAAAUAUGUUGAACGUUUGGAAGGACCGGUGCAGUUGGUGGCAGAGAAAAGGAAGAUAGGUGAGUUCUUGCCAUCAACAUUGCCUGGGUUUUUUUGACUGACACCCUGUCCCUUUUCCUCCUCCUUUCCAGCUUCACUGCAGAGAACAUUUCAUUGCUUGGUGGAGUUGCAACUUGUGUUCUCUCGGCAACCUCCUUCAGUUGGUCAGUCUCCUGAGUGACCUGUGCAGCCUCUUCUAUAACAUCCUUAAAACACAUGGUGUUUGUCACUUUCUGGCUAUUGAGCAAAUAGUCAUGGAAUAGCAAAGCUUUUGUUGUGCCUCUUCUGCUGGCCUUGGAGAGGGACCUCUGCUAGAAUAACUCAGUAGGCAUGUUAGCAGCAAAUGCAUUUCCAUAACCUAUUAAUGGGUGUGAGGACCGGUUUCCCCAUCUGCCAAAGAAAGUUGUGAAGUGGUUGAAGAUCUCUCCUAGGGGAAAAAAAAAAAAACAAACCACAAAAAAAAUCACACACACACACACACACACACAAAAUUCUGUUUAGUCCAGUGAAGGACCAUUGAUAUGGUAACUUCAAAACAUUUGGGGUUCCCCACACACACUUUUCUUUUCUUUACAAUUUGGAAAAUAGUCACUGCAGAAUUGAAGGCUCAGAUUUAUUUGCACCCCACACCCCGCAUCUAGGAUAUGCAAUGAGAAUAGUUGUGCUCUUUUUGUUGCUGAAGGUAGAAACCACUGGUGAUGCUAUAUGGUGGCUAGCAGCCUGCCUGUCCACAGUGGGGUCAGCCCGCUGAAGAAACAGCUGUUAUGUCUGUGAAAUUCCUGACUGCUGUGAUUACUUUUGAGAUGGGCCAUAUACCCAGAGAGAAGCUGAAACUGCAUUAUUGGCCUUCACACAGCUAAACUGCCUGAGUCUGGCUGGUUGUGAGCUGGGCUGGAGGUCUGGGUACACCAUAGGGUAAGGAUUGCCACCCACUGAGGCAUGGUGCCACACCUAUCUCAGGUGUGGUGUAAACUUCCUUCCAGGCAAUUAACCUUUGAGUUUUAUCUUGUGUUUGCUAGGGGUGCUUGUGAUCUGUUACUGUGGGUCACCGGGUACAUAGUAAGUUGUGUAUCAGAACCCUUAAAUUUGUUGUCUUGAUUUUCUGUAUUUAUGGAGAUUCUCUUUCCAAUACAGAUAAAAGAAAUGCAAAAUUUACAAAUUUUAUCAAUUCACAAUUAAUCCUCAGAAGUACCAGAUCAGGCUACAUAAUUUUCCUUGAUGGCUAUUUCUGCCGUUCAGGUAACAUUCCCCUCUAGUGGAAUAAGUACCAAUCUGACGUGCCCCCUGCUGUGACCCGCUCACGUCAUUAUUUCUGCCUCAGUUUUUCUGUUUGUAAAGGGAAGAUUAAAUCUUCCAGAUUAAUCUGUUACUGGUUUUAGACUACUUUGAGGUAUUCACUAAAAGGCACCAGCGCAGAAGUACUGGGCAUGAAGACAAUGAGAAGUGCUCAGAAUGCCCUUUUCAGGGCUUUUUAAUCACCGUGUAAAUCUAUAGUGCUGUGCAAACAUUUCAUGGUGGUAAGGCCUCUGCUUUACCAUUAGACCUCUGCUUUAGCAUUAGACCUCAGCUUUAGUGCUCACCAACAUGCCUUACUUCCUGCAUCAUUUGGACUCGGCUGAAUGUGCUUCUGGAAAAGCAGAGUACAAUUUAAGCCUGCAAGAUCUUCUCAGACCGUAUUUCAGGGCCAUGUUACUGACAAGUCUGUGCUACCUAUUGUGGCUUAAUUGUCUUUUUAAAAUAAGGUCAAUAUGAUAUGCAACCUGAAUGUCUGUGUCCUAGGCAUGUUGACAUAUGUUGCUGUGUUU
Phalacrocorax carbo (great cormorant) is the source of this 2572-nucleotide non-coding RNA. Lineage: Eukaryota; Metazoa; Chordata; Aves; Suliformes; Phalacrocoracidae. The record is from RefSeq and is a predicted model, not a curated record.